CAUGGGACACAGGGGACCUAAAUUGGCAAUGUCUUCAUGGUGGUUAUAGCUCCUAGGGAGGUUACAGACAGGAGACAGCGAGGAAGGGAAACCAGGGAGCAACAAGGUCCAUGAGGGCAGUAAGAGCAGAUGGGACAGAGAUGGGCAAACUAUAGCCCAUCACCUCUCACCCACCACCUGUUUGUAUAUGGCAGAUACUGGAUUGCUAAAAGAAGGAGAACCAAGGAGACGAGGCCUGUGAUUGUCCCAGCUUGCCACCCUUGAAGAGCGUUACCAGACCGGAGCACAGGGAAGGGAGAAAGAAGGCCAAAAUCAAGUCUGUUAGGCUCACUGAACUGAGGAGACAAAACUUGGAGUUCAGGGAGGCAGAGCGACCAAAAUCUGUGGAUUAAAGUGUUGAUGGGAGGGCCGGCCAGAUAGCUCAGCAGAGUGAAGUACCUACUUAGGCAGAGUAAAGUGGCCGGGGCUC
This is a long non-coding RNA of Octodon degus (degu), 469 nucleotides long. RefSeq lists it as uncharacterized. The transcript is spliced from 3 exons. The record is from RefSeq and is a predicted model, not a curated record. NCBI's taxonomy places the organism in Eukaryota, Metazoa, Chordata, Mammalia, Rodentia, Octodontidae.